This 345-nucleotide unclassified non-coding RNA is filed under the name soil metagenome. RNAcentral's name for it is "partial contains 5.8S ribosomal RNA, internal transcribed spacer 2, and large subunit ribosomal RNA". The stretch from base 1 to 120 matches the Rfam family "5.8S ribosomal RNA", at positions 35 to 154 of the family's 154-position model. The record is from RNAcentral.
GAUGAAGAACGUAGCGAAAUGCGAUACGUAAUGUGAAUUGCAGAAUUCAGUGAAUCAUCGAGUCUUUGAACGCACAUUGCGCCCCCUGGUAUUCCGGGGGGCAUGCCUGUCCGAGCGUCAUUGCUGCCCUCAAGCACGGCUUGUGUGUUGGGCCUCCGUCCUCCUCCCGGGGGACGGGCCCGAAAGGCAGCGGCGGCACCGCGUCCGGUCCUCGAGCGUAUGGGGCUUCGUCACCCGCUCUUGUAGGCCCGGUCGGCGCUUGCCGACACAUCAAUCUUUUUUCCAGGUUGACCUCGGAGCAGGUAGGGAUACCCGCUGAACUUAAGCAUAUCAAUAAGCGGAGGA